RNAcentral lists this ribosomal RNA (425 nucleotides) under uncultured bacterium. RNAcentral describes it as "partial 16S ribosomal RNA". It matches the Rfam family "Bacterial small subunit ribosomal RNA", at positions 354 to 796 of the family's 1533-position model. The record is from RNAcentral.
GUGGGGAAUCUUGCGCAAUGGGCGAAAGCCUGACGCAGCCAUGCCGCGUGAAUGAUGAAGGUCUUAGGAUUGUAAAAUUCUUUCACCGGGGACGAUAAUGACGGUACCCGGAGAAGAAGCUCCGGCUAACUUCGUGCCAGCAGCCGCGGUAAUACGAAGGGGGCUAGCGUUGCUCGGAAUUACUGGGCGUAAAGGGCUCGUAGGCGGACAGCUUAGUCAGAGGUGAAAGCCCAGGGCUCAACCUUGGAAUUGCCUUUGAUACUGGCUGUCUUGAGUUUGGGAGAGGUGAGUGGAACUCCGAGUGUAGAGGUGAAAUUCGUAGAUAUUCGGAAGAACACCAGUGGCGAAGGCGACUCACUGGCCCAAUACUGACGCUGAGGCGCGAAAGCGUGGGGAGCAAACAGGAUUAGAUACCCCUGUAGUCC